RNAcentral lists this long non-coding RNA (391 nucleotides) under Monodelphis domestica (gray short-tailed opossum). RNAcentral describes it as "lncRNA (ENSMODG00000040508.1)". Lineage: Eukaryota; Metazoa; Chordata; Mammalia; Didelphimorphia; Didelphidae. The record is from RNAcentral.
AUACAAGUAUUCUGUGUGUCCUGAAUAGGGCACAGAAAUAAGGUGAAGAACAAUAAAAAAGAAAAAAAAUAAAAUCAGGGAAUAAAAGACCCUAAGGACUAAUUUUGUGUCUUUCAUUAUCUAUUUUACCUAGGAUCGAACUCAUUUAUAUUACUUUCCCUGGGAUCUUUUCUUGCUUGGUUCAGUUUUCUUCUAAGGACAUAAUACAAACCAACUUCAUCAUUUCUGAAAAUACAGACACAAUGCAAUCCCAACUUUCUAUGCAAUGAGAAAGCGAUUCUGAGACAGUGAUGCAUAAAGGAAAAUGGAGAUAAAGAUAUCUGAGGCAGUUCGGUACAGUGAAGACUGGAAGAUCCAAGACAGAAGGGAUAUGGAUUAAAGUCCUCCACUU